This 727-nucleotide ribosomal RNA is filed under the name uncultured Staphylococcus sp. RNAcentral's name for it is "bacterial SSU rRNA". It matches the Rfam family "Bacterial small subunit ribosomal RNA", at positions 61 to 770 of the family's 1533-position model. The record is from RNAcentral. Lineage: Bacteria; Bacillati; Bacillota; Bacilli; Caryophanales; Staphylococcaceae.
GUCGAGCGAACGGACGAGAAGCUUGCUUCUCUGAUGUUAGCGGCGGACGGGUGAGUAACACGUGGAUAACCUACCUAUAAGACUGGGAUAACUUCGGGAAACCGGAGCUAAUACCGGAUAAUAUUUUGAACCGCAUGGUUCAAAAGUGAAAGACGGUCUUGCUGUCACUUAUAGAUGGAUCCGCGCUGCAUUAGCUAGUUGGUAAGGUAACGGCUUACCAAGGCAACGAUGCAUAGCCGACCUGAGAGGGUGAUCGGCCACACUGGAACUGAGACACGGUCCAGACUCCUACGGGAGGCAGCAGUAGGGAAUCUUCCGCAAUGGGCGAAAGCCUGACGGAGCAACGCCGCGUGAGUGAUGAAGGUCUUCGGAUCGUAAAACUCUGUUAUUAGGGAAGAACAUAUGUGUAAGUAACUGUGCACAUCUUGACGGUACCUAAUCAGAAAGCCACGGCUAACUACGUGCCAGCAGCCGCGGUAAUACGUAGGUGGCAAGCGUUAUCCGGAAUUAUUGGGCGUAAAGCGCGCGUAGGCGGUUUUUUAAGUCUGAUGUGAAAGCCCACGGCUCAACCGUGGAGGGUCAUUGGAAACUGGAAAACUUGAGUGCAGAAGAGGAAAGUGGAAUUCCAUGUGUAGCGGUGAAAUGCGCAGAGAUAUGGAGGAACACCAGUGGCGAAGGCGACUUUCUGGUCUGUAACUGACGCUGAUGUGCGAAAGCGUGGGGAUCA